RNAcentral lists this ribosomal RNA (448 nucleotides) under uncultured bacterium. RNAcentral describes it as "SSU rRNA". It matches the Rfam family "Bacterial small subunit ribosomal RNA", at positions 26 to 516 of the family's 1533-position model. The record is from RNAcentral.
AGGACGAACGCUGGCGGUGUGCUUCACACAUGCAAGUCGAACGGAGUAGCAAUACUCAGUGGCGGACGGGUGAGUAACACGUGGGAAUCUGCCUUUAGAUGGGGGAUAGCAGACCGAAAGGUCUAUUAAUACCGCAUAUGCCGAGAGGUGAAAGUAGCAAUACGUCUGAAGAUGAGCCCGCGCCCGAUUAGCUAGUUGGUAAGGUAAAAGCUUACCAAGGCUACGAUCGGUAGCUGGUCUGAGAGGAUGAUCAGCCACAAUGGAACUGAGACACGGUCCAUACUCCUACGGGAGGCAGCAGUGGGGAAUUUUACACAAUGGGCGAAAGCCUGAUGUAGCGACACCGCGUGAGCGAAGAAGCCUUUUGGGGUGUAAAGCUCUGUCAGCAGGGACGAAAAAAAUGACGGUACCUGCAGAGGAAGCAUCGGCUAACUACGUGCCAGCAGCC